UUCGCAAUGCCCGAAAGGGUGACGAAGCGACGCCGCGUGGGUGAGGAAGGCCUUCGGGUUGUAAAGCCCUGUCAGGAGUUGAGAAAUGUAGACUCGCUAAUAUCGGGUCUAUUUGACAAAGGCUCCAAAGGAAGCCACGGCUAACUCUGUGCCAGCAGCCGCGGUAAUACAGAGGUGGCAAGCGUUGUUCGGAAUUAUUGGGCGUAAAGAGCACGUAGGUGGAUUUGUAAGUCAGACGUGAAAGCCUUCUGUUCAACGGAAGAAUUGCAUCUGAAACUACAAACCUUGAGUGUAGGAGGGGAGAAUGGAACUUCUGGUGGAGCGGUGAAAUGCGUAGAUAUCAGAAGGAACGCCGGCGGCGAAAGCGAUUCUCUGGCCUAUUACUGACACUCAGUGUGCGAAAGCUAGGGGAGCAAACGGGAUUAGAUACCCCGGUAGUCCUAGCCGUAAACGAUGGGCACUAAGUAGAGGGGUUUU
This 477-nucleotide ribosomal RNA is filed under the name Candidatus Scalindua marina (nom. nud.). RNAcentral's name for it is "bacterial SSU rRNA". It matches the Rfam family "Bacterial small subunit ribosomal RNA", at positions 365 to 832 of the family's 1533-position model. The record is from RNAcentral. Lineage: Bacteria; Pseudomonadati; Planctomycetota; Candidatus Brocadiia; Candidatus Brocadiales; Candidatus Scalinduaceae.